This 408-nucleotide ribosomal RNA is filed under the name uncultured microorganism. Its description in RNAcentral is "bacterial SSU rRNA". It matches the Rfam family "Bacterial small subunit ribosomal RNA", at positions 509 to 917 of the family's 1533-position model. The record is from RNAcentral.
CAGCCGCCGCGGUAAUACGUAGGGGGCGAGCGUUCCCCGGAAUUACUGGGCGUAAAGGGGGCGUAGGCGGCCCGGCAAGUCAAGUGUGAAAUCCGGCGGCUCAACCGCUGGGCUGCGCUUGAAACUGCCGGGCUUGAGUGCAGCAGAGGGAGACGGAAUUGCCGGUGUAGGGGUGAAAUCCGUAGAUAUCGGCAAGAACGCCGGUGGGGAAGCCGGUCUCCUGGGCUGUUACUGACGCUGAGGCCCGAAAGCUGGGGGAGCGAACCGGAUUAGAUACCCGGGUAGUCCCAGCCGUAAACGAUGCUCACUAGGUGUGGGGGAGAUAAAUCCUCCGUGCUGAAGCUAACGCGCUAAGUGAGCCGCCUGGGGAGUAUGCCCGCAAGGGUGAAACUUAAAGGAAUUGGCGGG